RNAcentral lists this long non-coding RNA (4973 nucleotides) under Panax ginseng (ginseng). Its description in RNAcentral is "long non-coding RNA (PGIN_LNC005804)". The stretch from base 3452 to 3530 matches the Rfam family "tRNA". Lineage: Eukaryota; Viridiplantae; Streptophyta; Magnoliopsida; Apiales; Araliaceae. The record is from RNAcentral.
UUGCCUCAUCUUUCUCAUUUCAUUUCUUCAUCUCAGCUCCAUAGCUCAACAGCCUCUUUUCAUAGAUCUACGUUUUUUCAUUUGUCAUUUCUGAAUUAUUCUUUUAGUUCUGGAUAGGUCGUUCGCUGAUCUACGUUUUGACUGUGGAUUUGUGUAGUUUUAAUCGGAAUUCAUUUCCAUUUCUGCUCGAUUGUGUUGGCAUAGAGUAUUAUUUAUUGAGGUCCGGUGAAUUUCAAGCUUAUAUAUACAGAUAUGUGGAGGUAUGGUUUGGAUCUUUUUCAUUUCGUACAGAUCUGCUACUUCUGUAAAUCUAUUUUUUGAAGGCAGAUUGACCUCUCGGUUGAUAGAUUAUUUGGAUGUCCUUUGUGUGUUUGUUAUCCGUAGUCUAUCUUUUGGAAUGUUGAAUCAGAUCUCGGAUCUUAUCGGAUGCAGAAGUUUUUGAAGGAUUGAUGAUGUUUAGAGGUAAUAAUAUCAUUUCCCUGUUUCGCUUUUGUGUUGUUUCUAUAUAAUUGAUUUUGAAUUUUUCGCUCAUACUGGUAUAAAUUAUGUGGGUCGUCCAAAAUUUGAGAUCAAAAUCAGUUAUAUAUCUUCAUAUAUAUAUAUAUAUAUAUAUAUAUAUAUAUAUAUUUCUUCAUAUAUAUAUAUAUACAUAUAUCUUCAUACGUGUAAACUAGUUCUCUUUUUUUUGUAGAUCUGUUUGUGAAAUAUCAUCUACGGUCGUCUAUCUCAGAUGAUGUUAGAGAAUUCAAUCUGCUGACCUGAUCGUUAAUCAUGGGAGCAGAAAAGCUGGCUGAUUGAUGAUGAAUGAUGGUUUGAUUCGUUGGUGAAGAUAAUUGAAUGGGUAUUUAAAGUGUUGUUAAUACUGUUAUGUUUCUGUCCAUUCUUUAAUUUUUUGUAGUCGAGAGAAAAGGGUGAUGAGGGAAUUAUGAGAAUUGUUAUUAUAUCUGUGUUAGCUGGCCUUUGCCAUGUCAGGUGCGCUUGCUUGGCAGGUCAAAAAUAACCUAAUAAAAUUAUCUUUUUUGUGUUUUUGAAGGGAGAUGGCACGGGGGUUUUUGCCCGGCUCUCUCUUCUUUUGGCGUCUCGUGUCCCUUUUUUUUAUCUUGCUUGGUAACUUCCAAACGUCAAACCGUCAAUCUUCUUUAUUCACACACGCGUCUGUCUUUGAGUUUUGAAUGGCUUUAGAUAUGUCUAUUCAUCUAAAUCCAUUCACUCAAAUAUGACGUCCAAUCGCAUAGUAACAUGAUUGAGCAAGCAAAUUACUGGAUUGGAUUCACCGAGUUACCUCAGUGCAAAGGUACAAAUUGCAACCAUCUUCAAUUAAUUUCAAGUAUCACAGUUCUCAACUCUAUUCAUCUUACUCAUGCGCUGAGCAAUUAUUAUUUAGCACUACAACUAAUUUAAUACAAGUGUUUCAUAUUCAAUAACAUUAUCUGACAGUUAUUUUAAUUUACAAAGUUUUAACUUUUGAUAAAGUCAUUAUUUAUAGGUAUUAGUUCUGAUAUGUAUUAGUUGAUUCAAUGUUUAUUACUGAUGAUAAAAUAAACUAUAUUUACAAAUGAUAAAUAUUAAACAUCACGGACACAAAUCUCUAGGACACAUUCAAAGUAUUGUUUAUACAAACAUCCAUGUAGUUCAUAAAUAUGCUUUUAUAUUAUAGCAAUAACCAAUUUGAAACUAUAAUUGUUAAUUAUUUUGUAAUACGUUGUUCAUCAUUGUUCAUUUUCUUUGUGGAAUCUUAAUUCUGUUAUGUAUUAGUUUAGUUGAUUCAAUGUUUAGUACUGAUGAUAAUAUACAACUAUAUUUACAAAUGAUAAAUAUUAAACAUCAUGGACACAAAUAUCUACAACCCAUUUAAAGUGUUGUUUAUACAAACAUCAUUCACAAGUGUAGUUCAUAAAUAUGCUUUAAUUAAAGCAAAAUCCAAUUUGAAACUAUAAUUGUUAACUAUUUUGCAAUACUUGUUCAUCAACUAUUAGUCCAUGUCCCACUUGUUCAUGUUCUUUGUAGUAUCUUAGAUCUAUUUUUAUUUUUUUGGAAGAUAGUGUACUAUGUAUUGUUGAGAGGGAAGUUGUGAAUUGUUGAGAGGGAAAUUGAGUGAUGAUUGUUGGUCAACAUGGUGACCUGUAAAGAGUGAAUGUAUUGUUUUUAGCCUUCUAAUUUCAGGAUUUGAAGCUGCAGUGUUGUACUAGCCAGUAAAUUCAAAAUGUCACCCAUAUUCUAGUGGCGUGUUUGUGCUAUUGUUCAACAGAGAAAUUUGUUCAUCGCAUGGUGUUUUGGGUUGCUGUUCGAGUUGAAGUUCAAUAUUCUUCUGAUGGUGCUGUUCAAUCGGUGGAUUGCUGUUUGAGUUGAAGUUUGAUUAUGAUGUGCUGAUGGAGAGCUAUUCAUUCCGUGGCUUAUUACCUUCAUAUGGAGUUGGUAAAUCAAUUGCUUAUUUCAUAUCUGGAUUUGGUGCUUGAUUUACAUGCUUGAUUCUACCACACAUGAGAUCAAUUUGUAACAUCUAAUCAUCAGCAGGUACACUGAAAUCUUUAUCCUGAUUGCUUGAAGAUAUUAUUACAGUUUUGUGCAAAUGUAUUUUAUGAUCUGAUUUCAAGAGUUUUGAACCCUGUGGCUGAUUUCUGUUCCCUGGUAAACAAGGUUCAUAUUCCCCACAAGGUUUAAAGAUUAUUCUAAAUCAUUGUUCUUUAGGCUUGAUACUUGAGAGGUUAAUUAUGCAUAGAGUAUUCAGUAAUUGUGAUCGUGUAUUUUUGUUGUCUUAAUUCUUUGUUACACGCAGCUACAUGGUUCUAUUGUUAAGAGGUAUAUAUUGCUUAAUGUUUGCUAGUGGAACAUCUGCAUAAUUUAUUCUUUCAAGGUUAUUGAUAAAUAGUGUUGCAAUUUAUUCUUUAUUUUAGUGGAUUAGGAUUCCUUGCCUGAUAAUGAUGCUCCAAAUGAUCUGCCAUGGGAUAAUAAGUUGACCUCUCUAUUCAUGUGAGAAGAAUUGUGGAAAUUGUACACAUUUCCAUUCAUCUGUAUAUAUUUUUAACGGAUCUUAGUUUAUUUUUUGGUAAGUUGGUCAAUUGAUUAAUAUAAUGUUGACAUAGUUUUGUCUGUGUUGGCAUUUUAUUGGUCAAUUGAUCAACUUGUCCAAAAAUGAAUUUCAUCUUUCAUUCUUAACAAUAUUUUAUUACUAGUUGGUUCCAAAAGAAGAAAAAAAAAAUUCGAAUAUGAUAUUUUUUGUUUUUGUUGGUUCCAAAAGUCAAAACGUAAUGUUUUGUGAUUUAUAGUAAAUUGAAGACCGUACAUGAAUGUAUGUAUGGAAAAACCCCAUAUUAAUUUUUACAAUUUUUGUUAAAUUAAAUUUUUUAUUGAGGGAGAUUCAAGGGCCAAGGAUUGGAGAUUCAAGGGCCAAGGUAUGAUAAAAAUCAAUGAAAUUUGAAAUGGAGGAGUGUUGUUUGGUGGUGGUGGUGGUGGACCCAUAAGCUCAAAUUUGGAAAGAGCGCUCAGAUUUUAUGUUUGAGAGGUUGGUGGUUCAAGUCCACCUGGGUUCUUUAUUUCCUCUUAAGUUCUAAUUUUUCUGCUAGGUUUAUUUUGUGGGCGAAUUUAUAUUCAAAAUGUAGGGCAAGGUUGUUUAUUCGUAUCAAAAUUUGUUUUUAUCUUUAACGUUAGGUAAAUUUAUCAGUUUUAAAUGUAAAAAUGUUAUAGUUGAUUUCAAAGGGUUAAAAGAUUAACAUUUUAUAUGUUGUUAGAGCACAGGAAAUUAGAAAAACUUAUUAUUAGAGGUUUGAUAAGGAGUUUGAGAGGAAUAUAAAAAGAAAAUUGUUGACAACGAUAAAAUAGUUGAAUAAAAUAAAAAGAUAAGAAAAUUUAUCUCUACGGUGUUGGUUUAUUAAGUAGUAGAAGAUUAGUUUGAUAGACUGAUCUGAUAUGUUUCUUUAUCCUUUGGUGUUGGCCAACCAAGCAAGCAACGUGCAUUAUAUUGGUGAUUAUCUAUCUAUCUGGCUAAAGAAGGCAGCUACUACAGAGUAUGGAGUUUACUCGAGUCUAGGCUUUGUAUAAGGCAGGCAGGAAGGCAGCUACUACGGUGUUGUUUACUAUGGAGUAUGGUGGUGUUGGCGAACCAAGCAAGCAACGGAUGGGAUGGUGGUGCAUUAAAUUGGUGAUUAUCUAUCUUUCUGGCUAAAAAAGAAGGCAGCAGCAGCAGCAGCUACUACGGAGUAUGGAAUUUAAUCAAGUCUAGGCUUUGUUUAAGGCAGGCAGGCAGGCAUCCAUCUAUCUUAUUUUCUGAAUGUUUGUUUGUUUAUUUAUUGACGGCGGCUGCUGCUGCUUCCUUAAUCCGUCAAUAAAUUUUUUUUAUUGAUAUAUUUUGACUCAUGAAUUUGUUCUGGUUCCGCCACUGAUUCUACAUUCAUUACUAAUUCAGACUCUUGUCACAAUGAUCCCAUUAUAUCUUUUAAUGGAACAAAAGAGAGCUGAUAAUGGAAGAAAUUGUAAAUUAAAAUUAUAUCAAACCCGAUUUAGAUUUUGUUUUUGAUUCUCUCUCCAAUAUCAAGCCUAAGGCUUUUUAGAUAGACCUAUAUAAGUGUUGUCUGUAGUAUUAAUCUGCAGAUGUUAAGUAUUGGUCAAACUGCGGAUGUAAGUAUUGGCCAAGAACGUCGUAUUGGUCAAAUUUAUUUUUUUAAAAGUUUUUCGGGCUCCACAGUAUUAAAUUUAAAUUGUCCAUGUCAAAUUUACGAUUUCAUUGAUUCACUCUACAAUUAUGAAUCAAUGAUAUCUAAAAUAAAAAAUAUGUUUACUUCCUCAUUCUAAACUCAUAAAUCUCUCAAAGGGCUCUUAAAACUUUGAAUUCACUAUUUUGUUCCGUUCUGCUCCUUCAGACUAAGAUUAUAUAUUAUAAUUAUAAAUUUUUUAUUUAUAUAUUAUAUACAGAAUUCUGUGUACAUACAUAUAAUGAUACUUAUUUGUUUACUGUUUACAUAUAAGAUUUAAAAUUU